This 326-nucleotide ribosomal RNA is filed under the name uncultured eukaryote. RNAcentral's name for it is "partial 18S ribosomal RNA". It matches the Rfam family "Eukaryotic small subunit ribosomal RNA", at positions 1470 to 1796 of the family's 1831-position model. The record is from RNAcentral.
CCCUUAGAUGUUCUGGGCUGCACGCGCGCUACACUGAUGCACUCAACGAGUUUACGACCUUGCCCGAUAGGGUUGGGUAAUCUUUUUAAAAUGCAUCGUGAUGGGGAUAGAUUAUUGCAAUUAUUAAUCUUCAACGAGGAAUUCCUAGUAAGCGCGAGUCAUCAGCUCGUGCUGAUUACGUCCCUGCCCUUUGUACACACCGCCCGUCGCUCCUACCGAUUGAGUGCUCAGGUGAAUAAUUCGGACUGCAGCAAUGUUUGGAUCCCGAACGUGGCAGCGGAAAGUUUAGUGAACCUUAUCACUUAGAGGAAGGAGAAGUCGUAACA